GACGAACGCUGGCGGCGUGCUUAACACAUGCAAGUCGUACGGUAAGGCCCUUUCGGGGGUACACGAGUGGCGAACGGGUGAGUAACACGUGAGUAACCUGCCCACAACUUUGGGAUAACGCUAGGAAACUGGUGCUAAUACUGGAUAUGUGCUCCGGCUGCAGGGGGGGGGUUGGAAGGCCCCGGCGGUUUUGGAUGGACCCGCGGCCUAUCAGCUUGUGGGUGGGGUAGUGGCCUACCAAGGCGGCGACGGGUAGCCGGCCUGAGAGGGUGACCGGCCACAUUGGGACUGAGAUACGGCCCAGACUCCUACGGGAGGCAGCAGUGGGGAAUAUUGCACAAUGGGCGCAAGCCUGAUGCAGCAACGCCGCGUGCGGGAUGACGGCCUUCGGGUUGUAAACCGCUUUCAGCAGGGACGAAGCUUUUUGUGACGGUACCUGCAGAAGAAGCACCGGCUAACUACGUG
RNAcentral lists this ribosomal RNA (465 nucleotides) under uncultured bacterium. RNAcentral describes it as "partial 16S ribosomal RNA". It matches the Rfam family "Bacterial small subunit ribosomal RNA", at positions 28 to 507 of the family's 1533-position model. The record is from RNAcentral.